Lathyrus oleraceus (garden pea) is the source of this 251-nucleotide long non-coding RNA. RefSeq lists it as uncharacterized. NCBI's taxonomy places the organism in Eukaryota, Viridiplantae, Streptophyta, Magnoliopsida, Fabales, Fabaceae. The record is from RefSeq and is a predicted model, not a curated record. The transcript has 2 exons.
GUCUGUUUGAGUGUGUGCUUGACAGUUAUAGGCUCGAGUCCCCGACUCCCUAUCAACUUGUUGUGUUGUUGUGUGCUUGGAAGCUGAUGUAAGUCCAUCGAGUGGCAUUUGGGUUCCAGUGUGCGUGUGUUUAGGUUCGGAUGUCAAUGUAAGUCCAGUGAUUGGCAUUUGGGCUCCAUGUUUGCCUUCUUGUGUGUUUUGGUUCGGAUGCUGAUGUAAGUCCAGUGAUUGGCAUUCAGGCUCCAUGUUUG